This 274-nucleotide ribosomal RNA is filed under the name uncultured bacterium. RNAcentral's name for it is "partial 16S ribosomal RNA". It matches the Rfam family "Bacterial small subunit ribosomal RNA", at positions 523 to 796 of the family's 1533-position model. The record is from RNAcentral.
AUACGGAGGGUGCAAGCGUUACUCGGAAUCACUGGGCGUAAAGCGCGCGCAGGCGGUCUUUUAAGUUGGAUGUGAAAGCCUACGGCUCAACCGUAGAACUGCAUCCAAAACUAUUAGACUAGAGUGUGGGAGAGGAAGAUGGAAUUAGUUGUGUAGGGGUAAAAUCCGUAGAGAUAACUAGGAAUACCAAAAGCGAAGGCAAUCUUCUGGAACACUACUGACGCUGUGGCGCGAAAGCGUGGGGAGCAAACAGGAUUAGAAACCCCGGUAGUCC